This 465-nucleotide ribosomal RNA is filed under the name uncultured bacterium. Its description in RNAcentral is "SSU rRNA". It matches the Rfam family "Bacterial small subunit ribosomal RNA", at positions 26 to 523 of the family's 1533-position model. The record is from RNAcentral.
AGAAUCAACGCUGGCGGCGCGCUUAACACAUGCAAGUCGCACGAGAAAGUGGAGCAAUCCAUGAGUAAAGUGGCGUACGGGUGAGUAACACGUGGAUAAUCUACCUUCUAGUGGGGAAUAACCCUGGGAAACCGGGGCUAAUACCGCAUAAGCUCGUGAGAGGAAAGCAGCAAUGCGCUGGAAGAGGAGUCCGCGGCUGAUUAGCUAGUUGGCGGGGUAACGCCCACCAAGGCGAAGAUCGGUAGCCGGCCUGAGAGGGCACACGGCCACACUGGCACUGAAACACGGGCCAGACUCCUACGGGAGGCAGCAGUGGGGAAUCUUGCACAAUGGAGGAAACUCUGAUGCAGCGACGCCGCGUGAGCGAUGAAGCCCUUCGGGGUGUAAAGGCUCUUUCGACGGGAACGAUAAUGACGGUACCCGAAGAAGAAGCUGCGGCUAACUACGUGCCAGCAGCCGCGGUAA